AUUGAACGCUGGCGGCAGGCCUAACACAUGCAAGUCGAACGAGUGGCGGACGGGUGAGUAAUGUCUGGGAAACUGCCUGAUGGAGGGGGAUAACUACUGGAAACGGUAGCUAAUACCGCAUACCAUCAGAUGUGCCCAGAUGGGAUUAGCUAGUUGGCGGGGUAACGGCUCACCAAGGCGACGAUCCCGAGCUGGUCUGAGAGGAUGACCAGCCACACAGAAACUGAGACACGGUCCAGACUCCUACGGGAGGCAGCAGUGGGGAAUAUUGCACAAUGGUGGCAAGCCUGAUGCAGCCAUGCCGCGUGUAUGGAGGAAGCCGUCGGGUUGUAAAGUACUUUCAGCGAGGAGGAGUUACCCGCAGAAGAAGCACCGGCUAACUCCGUGCCAGCAGCCGCGGUAAUAC
RNAcentral lists this ribosomal RNA (406 nucleotides) under uncultured bacterium. RNAcentral describes it as "partial 16S ribosomal RNA". It matches the Rfam family "Bacterial small subunit ribosomal RNA", at positions 30 to 526 of the family's 1533-position model. The record is from RNAcentral.